RNAcentral lists this long non-coding RNA (1352 nucleotides) under Chrysolophus pictus (golden pheasant). Its description in RNAcentral is "lncRNA (ENSCPIG00010007297.1)". Lineage: Eukaryota; Metazoa; Chordata; Aves; Galliformes; Phasianidae. The record is from RNAcentral.
AUUUUUUCUGCCUUAAGAAGCACAGAUGUUUGAAGAAAUAUCCAAAUUAUUUGAGACAUAGCUGAAUUCCAACUCUGAAACUCCUGAAAUUUCACAGUGAUGAAAUGAAGCAAGAGGAGGAGGUGCCUGAGAAGCAAGAUGUUUUAGUUGAUCUCAGCUGUCAGUGCAGUGGGCCAGUGGGAGUGGAUUUGUACAGCAAAACAGUUGAUCCUCAAGACCUUACAUUCAUGAUAUGCAUAUUUCAGGAGGAUUUUCUUUGGAUUAGUUUUGUCUGGUCCUGUGGAGUUCAUGUUCAUCAGUGACUUAAGUGUCGUAAGGGCACUUGUGGAAAGUUUCUUCCAGAUAAGUUCUAUCUGAAAGGCAUUCACUUUGUGUUCUCUGAGACUGCUGAGCCAUAUGAACCAAAGCAGCUGAAGGUGAGCAAGUAUGAAGUAUGGCCUCUUGAACAUGUAAGAGAUGAGCUUGCCAGAGUUUUGAACAUGAUUGCAGAAGAUGUGUUUCGUGUGUGCUGUAGCCUGAGUUAAGGAAGGAAGCUGAAGGCAACGUCUGGGAAUUAAGAAUGUGAAAUUCUUUCCCUGUUGGCAGUUCAGUAGGGUUUUGGAAGUUUCAUCCAUAAAGCUGUGGUAUCAUGUGGAAGUGUUUCUUCAGAAGGAGGAAUAGUCUACUGACUUGAGAGUGAGAAAAGAAGAGCUGGUUGAACAGUACUUACCUAAUGUUGUUUCCAAGCAGCUGGAACCAGAAACUGGAAUCAAAAAACACACUGUCCACACCUGCUACACCGGGGACUGAAAUCUGUACAUCCAUACUGCUGCUGAGCACGCAGAUGAAGAGAACAGCACAGCCUAGCAUGAGAAAGACAAUCACUGUACUGGAUCUCAAGAGAUGGAAGUUUGAACGUGGUGGCAGUGUCCCAAUAGGCCCAGUGCAGCUGUUGGACUUUGACAAUAUCAAUAUUUUAUUGCAGUGAUCUUCCAUCUGGAGGAUGUUUCCUGGGACAGGGACCUUGAGGGACCGUGUUACCAGAAAGCUGCUGGAGGAGUUGGAGGGUGGAGGAAGCAGCUGGAAAAUAAUCCAGAUGAUGAAAAGGCAGGGCUGUGCCAAGAGCUGCUGAGGCAGAAGGAACACUACAACAGAGCUGCCAAGUGCGUUAACUGAGUAAGGCUUCUGCAAGCUGCAAGGCACGGAGUGGUGAAAUGUGAAUUCCUCAUUUAAGAAUAAGUUCAAGACACAGCUCUCAGUGAUGUGCACUGCCUUUUGGGAUAGGAAAAGGGUGAUCCUUCUGGAUUUCCUAGAACUCAGAGCAACACCACCAAGUCUGAUCGCUACGUUACGAUGCUCACUAAGCUGAAAAC